This is a long non-coding RNA of Petromyzon marinus (sea lamprey), 149 nucleotides long. RefSeq lists it as uncharacterized. NCBI's taxonomy places the organism in Eukaryota, Metazoa, Chordata, Hyperoartia, Petromyzontiformes, Petromyzontidae. The record is from RefSeq and is a predicted model, not a curated record.
UCCCGUUGGUUGCCGUUAGCAACAGUGGAGCUGAGCACAGAGCGAGUGAGGGAGAGCAUCGGUCACUGUGUUCACGUGCAGUCUGGAAAACUCUGGCUCGGCGGUCCACAAGGCGGUUGACCUCUUAGCCACAGACCCAAGCCUGGGAG